This 240-nucleotide unclassified non-coding RNA is filed under the name soil metagenome. Its description in RNAcentral is "partial contains 5.8S ribosomal RNA, internal transcribed spacer 2, and large subunit ribosomal RNA". The record is from RNAcentral.
AACGGUCUAUACCUGCGGUACCUGCGGAAGGAUCAUUACAGAAUUGUUCGAAUCCAUACGGACACAUUCUUAACAUCCGUAUCCACACCGGCAGGGCUUUCGGGCCUUUGCCGUAGGGUUCCUCUUUUCUCUUUCUCUGUUAGGGAAAGAGAGGGGGGUUCCUGUCUGACCUUUGCCUAUAAUUUUAAUUUUGUCUGAACUUUUAUUUUAUUAUAAAAUAAAAACAACUUUCAACAAUGG